Molecule: long non-coding RNA, 1405 nt
Organism: Cyprinus carpio carpio
Lineage: Eukaryota; Metazoa; Chordata; Actinopteri; Cypriniformes; Cyprinidae
Source: Ensembl
GCGCGCGCGCGCGGCCGUCUGUAGUCUAGACGAGGAAUAAUCAACCUUCCCUUCGAGGCUAAACAUGAACAGCAACGUUUUACCGAGAGGUUCACCGGGGGACACGCACACCGGCUGCCCUACAUAAAAUGCACCCAUUGUAGGCCGGAGUGUCAGCUGAGGACGACUUGCAACCUAGAAACGGCGCUCUGGCCCCUCCUUCUCUUUGUCGGGCGCAUUGUAAACGCCAGCCAGAGGUCUUCUGAAGUGUUCUUUUUUCCCCAGUGAAAACAGAUCGUAAAAUUGGCCUGGACCCCAGAACGCGCUUUUCUCCAUUUUCAUCAACCCCUGUCGAGACCCCUCGCGAUUCCUCACCAAAGGCCCAAUGACAUCAUCAGAGCCCUUUGUAUAGAGCUGCUAGGGGUUCGUUUCAUUUCAAGCAGUCCUGCUCUCGAUGCGUUCGAUUUAUAUCUUAUAGUUUAUAUUUAUUUUGAACAGAGUUAACGCGCCUUUCUUAAAGCGCGAACGCUACAUCUGGGAGAAACAACGCUCCGCAGGAGUGCACUUCGCAACUUACUUUUUGCAUUGUGUUAUGUAGCCUACAGCAACAUAAACUUUGUGAGAUGAUAUCAGAAAAACUGCUCAUGACCGAGAGUGCGGAGAGCACGCUGAAGUGUUCGGUGUUCGCGGACCCUUGCGCGCGCGCGCCUAACUAUAUGGAGACUCACGAUAUUCUUCAGAUCUUUCAGGUGAGAAGAAAAAAGCAAAGCUGCAGCUACUGAUAUGUAUUCUUACGAAGAAAAUGGUAGACAGUGAUGAAUUGCUUUGCACAAAAUGGCGAAGGACAUUUCAGAGCGCUAAUAGAAGUUCCCAAAAAAAGAGAAAGCGCAGCGUGUUGAUAUCUUAUUGUUCUGCUUUAUUUAAUACAGAGCUGCAUAUUGUUUUAUGAGUAGGCCUCUUACGAAAACAAGCAAACAAAAUAGAGCUCUGACUAACUAUCAAAGUCAUUUUAGCAGCAGAUAAGAAAUAUUUAGUUGCUUGAGACAUCCAGGACAGGACCGUUGUUGUGUUCUCGUGUGUGCUGUUUCUGGACAUCACAGAGAAACUGGUUUUUGAUAGACCACAUGAUUCACUUCACUUCAUGUUAGAACAGGGAUUUUAACUCUGAUUUAUUUUUUAUCUAUUAAGUGUGUUAUAUAGAUUAAUAUAUUUUAUAUAGAUUUGUUUCAGACAGAAUCAUGACUGAAUUGAGAGGUUUUACUGGUGACUACAUUUAAGAAGGAUUCGAGCUGAUCUUGUUAAAUAUAUUGCAUACUGUAGUCACUGUCAUUUAACUUGACCCUAUAAACAUAAUUAUUAUUAUUAUUUAUUUUUUAAUAGUUGUAAACCAUUCUAAUCACAACUGACUUUACACAAACUUUUGCAG